AUUGAACGCUGGCGGCAUGCUUUACACAUGCAAGUCGAACGGUAACAGGCCGCAAGGUGCUGACGAGUGGCGAACGGGUGAGUAAUGCAUCGGAACGUGCCCAGUCGUGGGGGAUAACUACUCGAAAGAGUAGCUAAUACCGCAUACGAUCUAUGGAUGAAAGCGGGGGACCGUAAGGCCUCGCGCGAUUGGAGCGGCCGAUGUCAGAUUAGGUAGUUGGUGGGGUAAAGGCUCACCAAGCCAACGAUCUGUAGCUGGUCUGAGAGGACGACCAGCCACACUGGGACUGAGACACGGCCCAAACUCCUACGGGAGGCAGCAGUGGGGAAUUUUGGACAAUGGGCGCAAGCCUGAUCCAGCAAUGCCGCGUGCAGGAAGAAGGCCUUCGGGUUGUAAACUGCUUUUGUACGGAACGAAACGGCUCUGGUUAAUACCCGGGGCUAAUGACGGUACCGUAAGAAUAAGCACCGGCUAACUACGUG
This 482-nucleotide ribosomal RNA is filed under the name uncultured bacterium. Its description in RNAcentral is "partial 16S ribosomal RNA". It matches the Rfam family "Bacterial small subunit ribosomal RNA", at positions 30 to 507 of the family's 1533-position model. The record is from RNAcentral.